GACGAACGCUGGCGGCGUGCCUAAUACAUGCAAGUAGAACGCUGAAGGAGGAGCUUGCUUCUCUGGAUGAGUUGCGAACGGGUGAGUAACGCGUAGGUAACCUGCCUGGUAGCGGGGGAUAACUAUUGGAAACGAUAGCUAAUACCGCAUAAUAGUAGAUGUUGCAUGACAUUUGCUUAAAAGGUGCAAUUGCAUCACUACCAGAUGGACCUGCGUUGUAUUAGCUAGUUGGUGGGGUAACGGCUCACCAAGGCGACGAUACAUAGCCGACCUGAGAGGGGGAUCGGCCACACUGGGACUGAGACACGGCCCAGACUCCUACGGGAGGCAGCAGUAGGGAAUCUUCGGCAAUGGACGGAAGUCUGACCGAGCAACGCCGCGUGAGUGAAGAAGGUUUUCGGAUCGUAAAGCUCUGUUGUAAGAGAAGAAUGAGUGUGAGAGUGGAAAGUUCACACUGUGACGGUAUCUUACCAGAAAGGGACGGCUAACUACGUG
Molecule: ribosomal RNA, 495 nt
Filed under: uncultured bacterium
Lineage: Bacteria
Description: partial 16S ribosomal RNA
Rfam family: Bacterial small subunit ribosomal RNA
Source: RNAcentral